GGACCCGCACAAGUAGUGGAGCAUGUGGUUUAAUUCGAAGAUACGCGCAGAACCUUACCAACACUUGACAUGUUCGUCGCGACUCUAAGAGAUUAGAGUUUUCGGUUCGGCCGGACGAAACACAGGUGCUGCAUGGCUGUCGUCAGCUCGUGUCGUGAGAUGUUGGGUUAAGUCCCGCAACGAGCGCAACCCUCACUUUUAGUUGCCAUCAUUAAGUUGGGCACUCUGAAAGAACUGCCAGUGAUAAGCUGGAGGAAGGUGGGGAUGACGUCAAGUCCUCAUGGCCCUUACGUGUUGGGCUACACACGUGCUACAAUGGUAUCUACAACAGGAAGCAAGACUGCGAAGUUAAG
RNAcentral lists this ribosomal RNA (353 nucleotides) under uncultured bacterium. RNAcentral's name for it is "bacterial SSU rRNA". It matches the Rfam family "Bacterial small subunit ribosomal RNA", at positions 917 to 1267 of the family's 1533-position model. The record is from RNAcentral.